Molecule: ribosomal RNA, 253 nt
Filed under: uncultured bacterium
Lineage: Bacteria
Description: partial 16S ribosomal RNA
Rfam family: Bacterial small subunit ribosomal RNA
Source: RNAcentral
UACGUAGGCAGCGAGCGUUGUUCGGAGUUACUGGGCGUAAAGCGCACGUAGGCGGCUUUUUAAGUCAGGGGUGAAAUCCUGGAGCUCAACUCCAGAACUGCCUUUGAUACUGAGAAGCUUGAGUCCGGGAGAGGUGAGUGGAACUGCGAGUGUAGAGGUGAAAUUCGUAGAUAUUCGCAAGGACACCAGUGGCGAAGGCGGCUCACUGGCCCGGUACUGACGCUGAGGUGCGAAAGCGUGGGGAGCAAACAGG